GACGAACGCUGGCGGCGUGCCUAAUACAUGCAAGUCGAACGCAUUUUCUUUCACCGUAGCUUGCUACACCGAAAGAAAAUGAGUGGCGAACGGGUGAGUAACACGUGGGUAACCUGCCCAUCAGCGGGGGAUAACACUUGGAAACAGGUGCUAAUACCGCAUAAUUCCAUUUACCGCAUGGUAGAUGGAUGAAAGGCGCUUUUGCGUCACUGAUGGAUGGACCCGCGGUGCAUUAGCUAGUUGGUGGGGUAACGGCCUACCAAGGCUGCGAUGCAUAGCCGACCUGAGAGGGUGAUCGGCCACACUGGGACUGAGACACGGCCCAGACUCCUACGGGAGGCAGCAGUAGGGAAUCUUCGGCAAUGGACACAAGUCUGACCGAGCAACGCCGCGGGAGUGAAGAAGGUUUUCGGAUCGUAAAACUCUGUUGUUAGAGAAGAACAAGGAUGAGAGUGGAAAGUUCAUCCCUUGACGGUAUCUAACCAGAAAGCCACGGCUAACUACGUG
This 507-nucleotide ribosomal RNA is filed under the name uncultured bacterium. RNAcentral's name for it is "partial 16S ribosomal RNA". It matches the Rfam family "Bacterial small subunit ribosomal RNA", at positions 28 to 507 of the family's 1533-position model. The record is from RNAcentral.